This 460-nucleotide ribosomal RNA is filed under the name uncultured bacterium. Its description in RNAcentral is "partial 16S ribosomal RNA". It matches the Rfam family "Bacterial small subunit ribosomal RNA", at positions 338 to 795 of the family's 1533-position model. The record is from RNAcentral.
CCUACGGGAGGCAGCAGUGAGGAAUAUUGGUCAAUGGACGGAAGUCUGAACCAGCCAUGCCGCGUGCAGGAAGACGGCUCUAUGAGUUGUAAACUUCUUUUGUACAAGGGUAAACCUGAAUACGUGUAUUCAGCUGAAAGUACUGUACGAAUAAGGAUCGGCUAACUCCGUGCCAGCAGCCGCGGUAAUACGGAGGAUCCAAGCGUUAUCCGGAUUUAUUGGGUUUAAAGGGUGCGUAGGCGGGUUGAUAAGUUAGCGGUGAAAGUUCCGGGCUUAACUCGGGAACUGCCGCUAAUACUGUUUAUCUAGAGAGUAGAUGCGGUAGGCGGAAUGUAUGGUGUAGCGGUGAAAUGCUUAGAGAUCAUACAGAACACCGAUUGCGAAGGCAGCUUACCAAUCUAUAUCUGACGUUGAGGCACGAAAGCGUGGGGAGCAAACAGGAUUAGAUACCCCUGUAGUC